Molecule: ribosomal RNA, 429 nt
Filed under: Gemmatimonadota bacterium
Lineage: Bacteria; Pseudomonadati; Gemmatimonadota
Description: Gemmatimonadetes bacterium partial 16S ribosomal RNA
Rfam family: Bacterial small subunit ribosomal RNA
Source: RNAcentral
UAGGGAAUCUUCGGCAAUGGACGAAAGUCUGACCGAGCAACGCCGCGUGAGUGAAGAAGGUUUUCGGAUCGUAAAACUCUGUUGUUAGAGAAGAACAAGGACGUUAGUAACUGAACGUCCCCUGACGGUAUCUAACCAGAAAGCCACGGCUAACUACGUGCCAGCAGCCGCGGUAAUACGUAGGUGGCAAGCGUUGUCCGGAUUUAUUGGGCGUAAAGCGAGCGCAGGCGGUUUCUUAAGUCUGAUGUGAAAGCCCCCGGCUCAACCGGGGAGGGUCAUUGGAAACUGGGAGACUUGAGGGCAGGAGAGGAGAGUGGAAUUCCAUGUGUAGCGGUGAAAUGCGUAGAUAUAUGGAGGAACACCAGUGGCGAAGGCGGCUCUCUGGUCUGUAACUGACGCUGAGGCUCGAAAGCGUGGGGAGCAAACAGG